GACGAACCGUGCGAACGUUAUUCGGAAUCAUUGGGCGUAAAGCGCACGUAGGCGGUCUGUUAUGUCGGAUGUGAAAGCCCUUGGCUUAACCGAGGAAGUGCAUCCGAAACUGGCAGGCUAGAGUACUAAAGAGGGUCGCGGAAUUCCCGGUGUAGAGGUGAAAUUCGUAGAUAUCGGGAGGAACACCGGUGGCGAAGGCGGCGACCUGGGUAGAUACUGACGCUGAGGUGCGAAAGCGUGGGGAGCAAACAGG
RNAcentral lists this ribosomal RNA (253 nucleotides) under uncultured bacterium. RNAcentral's name for it is "partial 16S ribosomal RNA". It matches the Rfam family "Bacterial small subunit ribosomal RNA", at positions 524 to 776 of the family's 1533-position model. The record is from RNAcentral.